CUGCCCUUCACUCUGGGACUGCCCUGGAAACGGGGUCUAAUACCGGAUAAUACUGCGGAUCGCAUGGUCUGCGGUUGAAAGCUCCGGCGGUGAAGGAUGAGCCCGCGGCCUAUCAGCUUGUUGGUGGGGUGAUGGCCUACCAAGGCGACSACGGGUAGCCGGCCUGAGAGGGCGACCGGCCACACUGGGACUGAGACACGGCCCAGACUCCUACGGGAGGCAGCAGUGGGGAAUAUUGCACAAUGGGCGAAAGCCUGAUGCAGCGACGCCGCGUGAGGGAUGACGGCCUUCGGGUUGUAAACCUCUUUCAGCAGGGAAGAAGCGAAAGUGACGGUACCUGCAGAAGAAGCGCCGGCUAACUACGUGCCAGCAGCCGCGGUAAUACGUAGGGCGCAAGCGUUGUCCGGAAUUAUUGGGCGUAAAGAGCUCGUAGGCGGCUUGUCGCGUCGGAUGUGAAAGCCCGGGGCUUAACCCCGGGUCUGCAUUCGAUACGGGCAGGCUAGAGUGUGGUAGGGAGAUCGGAAUUCCUGGUGUAGCGGUGAAAUGCGCAGAUAUCAGAGGAACACCGGUGGCGAAUGCGGAUCUCUGGGCCAUUACUGACGCUGAGGAGCGAAGCGUGGGGGAGCAACAGA
This 632-nucleotide ribosomal RNA is filed under the name Streptomyces sp. BSA25. RNAcentral describes it as "bacterial SSU rRNA". It matches the Rfam family "Bacterial small subunit ribosomal RNA", at positions 126 to 776 of the family's 1533-position model. The record is from RNAcentral. Lineage: Bacteria; Bacillati; Actinomycetota; Actinomycetes; Kitasatosporales; Streptomycetaceae.